GUUCUUUUUAAAUUGAGUUUUUCUAACAUUUUCAGAGCUGCAUGAAUAGGGGCAAUCAGCAUAGUUAGGUUUGCUCAGAAGAACGCUUGAGUCUGCCUGCUAGUGACUCUGGCAAGCAGUGGGACUUGGAAUCUGAGAUCUGUAGUUCACUACUUCGUUUUUAGUUGUCUAACAUUUCUGUAUUUCAGUAAAAGCUGGGGUAGACCCACAAGUGUUGAUGACAGAGGGAGAUGUUCUGGCAGAGGAUUAGAUGUCAUGUCUCUCUCUCACCUACCUUGAGGAACUAAAAGGAGCCCUUUGCAUGGCAGACCCUGUGUUACUCCUAGCUGGUGAGCUACAGUUUAGAUCAGUAGUUCAGAAGAGGAUGAAAAAUACUAUUUCUAGUAUCUAUGGCUGACAAACAUUCCUCUCAGUUACAUCUCACUGUAGAAAGGCAAAGUUGGAGAACUCAGCAAAAUUUCAGGAGGUGAGUCAAUCAAGAAACUCUUCGACUAUUUCUUACAAGGUCUGCCAUUUUCAAAAAUGAAAAUUUCCCAUGAGGAUCAAGUAUGGAAAUAAUCUG
RNAcentral lists this long non-coding RNA (562 nucleotides) under Cairina moschata (Muscovy duck). RNAcentral describes it as "domestica (muscovy Duck (domestic type)) lncRNA (ENSCMMG00000011092.1)". Lineage: Eukaryota; Metazoa; Chordata; Aves; Anseriformes; Anatidae. The record is from RNAcentral.